RNAcentral lists this transfer RNA (62 nucleotides) under Myrmecophilus kubotai. Its description in RNAcentral is "tRNA-His". Lineage: Eukaryota; Metazoa; Arthropoda; Insecta; Orthoptera; Myrmecophilidae. The record is from RNAcentral.
AUUUAAGUAGUUUAUAGAGAACAAUAGCUUGUGGUGCUGUAAGAAUGGUUAUAUCUUGGAUU